UUGACGAUGUGGCUGCUGCAUGAUCUGUUACUCUUCUUUUUUAAGCAAAACCCAGCUGACAAAAUUCCCAAAGUUUUAAAUCUUUUGAUUUUCAAUUCAACAUUAAUCAAAUUGAAUUGGAAGCCCUUGUGGCUAUGAUUUUGGGGGGUUUUCAGAGGAAAUUGAAGGAGAGGAAUUUAGAGAGAAAGGAAAUGGAAGGAAUUGAGAAGAAGGGGAAUUGGGGAGAGGAGAGGAAGAAGAUGAGAUCUGAGAAUAGAAAAAGCGGGAAGAGAGAGAAAGGGGAG
Molecule: long non-coding RNA, 284 nt
Filed under: Nicotiana tabacum (common tobacco)
Lineage: Eukaryota; Viridiplantae; Streptophyta; Magnoliopsida; Solanales; Solanaceae
Description: long non-coding RNA (NTAB_LNC001936)
Source: RNAcentral